Molecule: ribosomal RNA, 451 nt
Filed under: Capnocytophaga canimorsus
Lineage: Bacteria; Pseudomonadati; Bacteroidota; Flavobacteriia; Flavobacteriales; Flavobacteriaceae
Description: bacterial SSU rRNA
Rfam family: Bacterial small subunit ribosomal RNA
Source: RNAcentral
UCGAGGGGUAGAGUGCUUCGGCACUUGAGACCGGCGCACGGGUGCGUAACACGUGUACAAUCUACCUUUUGCUAAGGGAUAGCCCGAAGAAAUUUGGAUUAAUACCUUAUAGUAUUGUUUGGUGGCAUCACUGAAUAAUUAAAGCUCUGGUGGCAAAAGAUGAGUACGCGUCCCAUUAGCUAGUUGGUGUGGUAACGGCAUACCAAGGCUACGAUGGGUAGGGGUCCUGAGAGGGAGGUCCCCCACACUGGUACUGAGACACGGACCAGACUCCUACGGGAGGCAGCAGUGAGGAAUAUUGGACAAUGGUCGGAAGACUGAUCCAGCCAUGCCGCGUGCAGGAUGACGGCCUUAUGGGUUGUAAACUGCUUUUAUACAGGAAGAAUAAGGUCUACGAGUAGAUUGAUGACGGUACUGUAUGAAUAAGCAUCGGCUAACUCCGUGCCAGCAG